Hordeum vulgare subsp. vulgare (domesticated barley) is the source of this 136-nucleotide non-coding RNA. Lineage: Eukaryota; Viridiplantae; Streptophyta; Magnoliopsida; Poales; Poaceae. The record is from Rfam.
CUUAUACUCCAUCCGUUCCAAAAUUCUUUUCUUAGCUUUGUCUAAAAAUGAAUGUAUCUAAAUACUAUAAUUUGACUAGGUACAUUCAUAUAUAAACAAACCUAAGACAAGAAUUUUGGAACGGAAGGAGUACAUA